Molecule: ribosomal RNA, 424 nt
Filed under: uncultured prokaryote
Description: partial 16S ribosomal RNA
Rfam family: Bacterial small subunit ribosomal RNA
Source: RNAcentral
UGGGGAAUCUUAGACAAUGGGGGAAACCCUGAUCUAGCCAUGCCGCGUGGGUGACGAAGUCCUUAGGGUCGUAAAGCUCUUUCGCCAGGGAUGAUAAUGACAGUACCUGGUAAAGAAACCCCGGCUAACUCCGUGCCAGCAGCCGCGGUAAUACGGAGGGGGUUAGCGUUGUUCGGAUUUACUGGGCGUAAAGGGCGCGUAGGCGGGGUAUCCAGUUAGGGGUGAAAGCCCGGGGCUCAACCUCGGAACUGCCUUUAAAACUGAUACUCUAGAGUCCGGAAGAGGGUCGCGGAAUUCCCAGUGUAGAGGUGAAAUUCGUAGAUAUUGGGAAGAACACCGGUGGCGAAGGCGGCGACCUGGUCCGGUACUGACGCUGAGGCGCGAAAGCGUGGGGAGCAAACAGGAUUAGAUACCCCGGUAGUCC